UACGGAGGAUUCGAGCGUUAUCCGGAUUUAUUGGGUUUAAAGGGUGCGUAGGCGGGCUUUUAAGUCAGCGGUAAAAAUUCGGGGCUCAACCCCGUCCGGCCGUUGAAACUGGGGGCCUUGAGUGGGCGAGAAGAAGGCGGAAUGCGUGGUGUAGCGGUGAAAUGCAUAGAUAUCACGCAGAACCCCGAUUGCGAAGGCAGCCUUCCGGCGCCCUACUGACGCUGAGGCACGAAAGUGCGGGGAUCGAACAGG
Molecule: ribosomal RNA, 252 nt
Filed under: uncultured bacterium
Lineage: Bacteria
Description: partial 16S ribosomal RNA
Rfam family: Bacterial small subunit ribosomal RNA
Source: RNAcentral